CCUACGGGAGGCAGCAGUGAGGAAUAUUGGUCAAUGGGCGCGAGCCUGAACCAGCCAAGUAGCGUGAGGGAUGACGGCCCUACGGAUUGUAAACCUCUUUUGUCGGGGAGUAAAAAGCGGCACGUGUACCUCAUUGAGUGUACUUGGUGAAAAAGCAUCGGCUAACUCCGUGCCAGCAGCCGCGGUAAUACGGAGGAUCCGAGCGUUAUCCGGAUUUAUUGGGUUUAAAGGGUGCGCAGAGGGGGGGUUAAGUCAGGUGUGAAAGUUUGGGGCUCAACCCCAGAAAAGCCAUUGAUACUGGCAGGCUUGAGUAGAGGUGAGGUAGGCGGAAUGCGUGGUGUAGCGGUGAAAUGCUUAGAUAUCACGAAGAACUCCGAUUGCGAAGGCAGCUUACCAA
Molecule: ribosomal RNA, 397 nt
Filed under: uncultured bacterium
Lineage: Bacteria
Description: partial 16S ribosomal RNA
Rfam family: Bacterial small subunit ribosomal RNA
Source: RNAcentral